UCUAUUGUCGGACAGCCUCCUAUGCCGGCGUGCUACAGUUGCGCCGAUGACGGGGUGUGGAGCUCGUCCAACAAUGUACCGAAUCGGGAGAAAACCGUGAGGCGGACUCCUUUCCGAGAAUUACGCUCGGUUAAGGGC
Molecule: non-coding RNA, 138 nt
Organism: Desulfobacterales bacterium PC51MH44
Lineage: Bacteria; Pseudomonadati; Thermodesulfobacteriota; Desulfobacteria; Desulfobacterales
Source: Rfam